UGAAGAUCCCAUUUGGCCUGGUCAAUAUUCAUCUUUCCUUUUCCCUUCCCUUUUGCCUUCCCUUCUGCCUUCCCUUCCCUUCCCUUCCCUUUUGCCUUCCCUUUUGCCUUCCCUUUUGCCUUCCCUUUUCCCUUCCCUUUUCCCUUCCCUUCCCUUACCUUCCCUUCCCUUUUCCUUUCCCUCUUCCCUUCCCUUCCCUUCCCUUCCCUCUUCCCUUCCCUUCCCUUCCCUUCCCUCUUCCCUUCCCUUCCCUUCCCUUCCCUUCCCUUCCCUUCCCUUCCCUUCCCUUCCCUUCCCUUCCCUUCCCUUCCCUUCCCUUCCUUUCCAUUCUUUUUCUUUCCAUCUAAAAAGAUAUAUAUAUGUAUGUGUAU
RNAcentral lists this long non-coding RNA (371 nucleotides) under Monodelphis domestica (gray short-tailed opossum). RNAcentral describes it as "lncRNA (ENSMODG00000049033.1)". Lineage: Eukaryota; Metazoa; Chordata; Mammalia; Didelphimorphia; Didelphidae. The record is from RNAcentral.